AAGUGGGGAAAAGUUGGCUAGCGCGUGGGUCCGCGCUGACGGCGCGGGCGGAGGAGAGCGGGGUGCGCUCGGGCCUGGGGGAGAUGCGGGGCGAGGGGCGGCCGCCGGCUCCGAGUCCCCCAGGCGCUGCACCCGGCCGGGCAGGGCGCCGGCCACGCCGGUCCUAGGAUUCCGCAGCCGCCUUUCUCUCCCCUCCUCUUGCUAUUUGCAAAAGAAUCCAGCUGCGUGGCUGUUUGCCGGGCUCCUGCACCCCAACCCCCAUUUCCCCACCUCCGUCUGUCUCCUGGGAUGAUCUUGUCUUCUUUCCCCCACUCCAAAAGAAGGUGGGGGCAUCGGGGGCUGGUGAAAAAUCCCCGCCACGGGGGGAAAAAAAGCGUUGUUAGCUAGGAGUGGGAUGUGCUUGUACAAUAGUGGAGGGGGGGAAGAAAAAAAGAAAAAAGGAAAGAGAUCUAUCAAUCUCUCACCCAUCUUCCUAUCUCGGAUCUUUCAUCUCCCCUAUCUAAAUAAACAAGGCAGGUCGCAGUGGAAAUCCACCGGCUGAAAUCGUGUGGAUUUCAAGCAAGUGGCGGGGCGGGCAAAGUCAGGCAGCGGGGCAGAGACGCAGCAGCUUCCAGCGCCCCAGUCGGGUUUAUUUAGCAAAGGGAAGAAGCGUGCGGGAGCGGGCCAGGUACGGGGUUUGCAGGGGAGCUCGCCCGGCUGCCUGCACGCUUGCACCCCCGGAAGGUCGGCUCGCAGCGCUCCCCGCCCGCCGCAGCCCGCGGGGCCGCUGCUCCGCGGCGCGCAAACCUUUCCCCGCGGUCCUUUCUCUCGCGGUGCCUGGGUCGCCUUUGCUGCUUCUUCUUUUUUUUUUUUUUUUUAAUUUUUUUGAAACUGCAAUAGAAAUAAAACGUCCUCUGGGUGCCAUCGAAACAGCGGGCAGGUUGUGUUCCUGCAGUCCUUGGAGCACCUCGUCAGGCUGGGGCCGGGCUGCCGGCGCGGAGCUGGAGAAGGGCUGCGCGCCCAGCCGCCGCCGAGGACCGGCUGCGGGGCGGCCGAGAGCCGAAUAUUUAUGUUAUAUUUUUAAAAAUUUAAAUAAAUAAAUAAAUAUAUAAAGGGGUUCUCCCCUCCCCUGAAAACCCAGCAUAGGCGCCAUCUGCUCGGAGCAUUUGCUGCUGCCAUCUCUCCUUUGUUACAGCAGAUACAUUAGUAAGAAUUUGUGGAUUUAUUAUUAUUUUGGGGGGAAGGGAAUAGAUAUUAAAGUGGGCUUGCCUUGGGAGAGGGAUACCUUUCUGGAGGGAGGGAAGAGGACUUCUAUUUUUCAUCAUUGUAACAUCAAAGGAGACUCGCUGGUUGCAUUUAAAACAAAAUGUUUUGCGACCAUAUUUGAACCUGGUUUCAUCAAGGUCCUCAUCGCCAGUUGACAUUUCGUCCUUUACCAAUCCUUUAGCAAUCGCUUAUUCUACCCCCCUCCCCCGUUUAGAUGGUGGAGUGGCUGUUAGAAUGUCUGUACUUGCAGACGCCUAAUUUCUCCAGGAGGCAAUUUGCCCCACAGAGCCUCUGUAUAAUUGCAAGGGUUGUUUUUGAGGAGGGGGAAGUUGGGGGGGGGAGUCCGGGAAGGGGGAGUUGUCUGGGGUGCAUUGCCAAGCUGGCAGCAGCGAAGGAGCCAGGAGUGUUUGCAGUUGUGUGUAAAGGGGGAAAGAAGCAGGUAGGUUCGCUUUGCUUUUGCUCUCUCCUCUCUGGUGUUCCUGGGACCUCAGGAGCAAGCCCUGGCCAGGAGGACUGGCGGCAGCUGGGCAUGGGGGGCGAGGGGUGCCUAGUGCAACAUCCUUCCAUCCUUCAUUUGUUUCACGGCUGUUUCAGUCUUGCUCAGAGCAGUGCUGGGGAAAGCCGGCUGACCCUGGAGCAGUGGCAGGGAAGGAGAGGUGGGGAGGAGACCAGGGGGCAAAGGAUAUCCCACCUGCCUUCCUGGAGUGCACGGAGCCCAGGGCAUAUGCAGGGGUUUAAGCAGGGAGAGUGGUCCAACCAGUUUUCAGACAAGGCUAUUUAUUAUCCAAAAGCAGCUGGCUUUUCUGUCUGUCCUAUGUCACCCGGAAGGUGGGAGUGCAGGCAGGGGAAAGGCAAGAAUUGGAUGCAGUUUCGGCUGUAGGGCCUGUGCAAGUGUGCCUUUCCACAACGAUGCAGGAGUUGUGGGUCUCGUGUGCUCUGGAGCCCUGGCCAGCAAAAUGAGUGCUGCCGCAGCCCCGAUCCGGUGUCCACAUUUUAGUUCAAAUGUGAAAGAAACAGCCUAAAACGUGGUGCAUCUUCAGUUGGGUGGCAGCCCGCCGGCCUCAGGUUCUUUAGAGAUGAUGCAACUUAGUAUAACUGAUGGUUUGAGAAACAGAAGAGCACACAAACAGCAUCGAUCAUCUUGCAGGGGGGUUGGCAAGUGGGAGAAGGGCUCCAUAAUGAGCUAGUUAAAUUUACAGACAGGGCCAGUGAGAAGAGGAGUGAGGUAGAAAAGAGAGAGUGGGAGACAGCUGGGGAUGAAGACUGAGGCUUCUGGUUUGUUUCAAAAUGUUUGACCCAGAUGGAUAUGGCUUUUAAAACCGGAGUUCAGACACAGCUUUCAAGAAAAACAAACACAAAACAACACAGUGACAGUAGUGGACAGGGUAGGAUGAGGACCAGUGACUGGCCACGCAGAGGGAAGGGCCGUGAGCCCACUGUGCCAGGCCGGGUGAGUGGGGAGGCAGAUGAACCCCAGGCCGUGCAGGAGCUCUGAGGCUUCCCGAAGGAAAUAAGAAGGCCAGGGUAGAUUACACAGACCCAGCGAAGGUGAUUUUUUCGACAACCCACCAACAGGUUUCCUUGGAAGGUUAGUAAUUUUCCGUAUGAAUUCACGAUUUUGCAGAACUACUAGAGACCCCAGAUUUGACACGGAAGUUAGGGUGUGUUAAUUCCAUGGUUGCCUUUUAAAUUAGGCUUUGCUGUGGCUGUGUGUUUUGAAGGCCGCUGUGCUUACAAUUAUCUUAACUUCCCAGGAUAGAGUAUAUCUCCAGGUGUCCACAUAUCUUUCAAAAUUGGGCCUCUGAUAAAUUUCAUAAGACCUGGGUCCCUCUUUUUUUUUGGUAGUUGGUGGGGGGAGUGAAGUUUGUCUCCCUUCUGCACAGAAGGGAACCCCGUAUCAUUAGAAGUGUGAUAUAAGUCAGCUGCUCUGAUUCUAAGGGAGAAUAGAAAUGUGUUCAUCCAAGGUGUUAUGCCAGGCGGACUUUAUUCAUUUGUAAUUCACACCUGAGAGAAAAAAUAGCCAUGAGCAUAUUUUAACAACCCAUAAUAUUUUUAAAGGGUAGUCUUUCCCUCCCUGAAAAUUAUGCACGGGGGCAUAUUUCCUUUUUUUCUGAGGGUGGGAGGUGGCUCUCUGUGCUUUGGCCUUGGCGAUUUUUGUCUGGCCUUCAAAAUAUUUCGUAACAGAAAACGAGUCAUUUCUCAAGUGCUGGAGUGAAUGCAGUUGCUUUGGUGAAGGCGGCCUUAGGAGCAUGGAGGGAGGCUGAGUCAGAUGCUGGGGUGCGAUGCUUUGCUGACCACUGUGCAGGGCCAGAUGGGUCUCAUUGACCAAAGGGGAGGCCAAUUUUGGGUGCCCCGGACAGUAAUUAGCAUCUGUCUCAGGUGAGAUGGGAGCGCGCAAAGCAAUCGAUCAGUUUCCCGCUGUAGAGGGCACUGGUUUCUAGCGCCUUAUCAGAAUCGAGCUCUUGGCACUGUCUUUGGGCUUAGAACACGGCUUGCACCCGCCUUCUCUUUUUCCUUUUCAUCUCCUUUCUCCGAUCGCUUUGCAUUCUCUGUUGCUUGUUGUGAUAAAAUACUUUCCAAAAUAAACUUUCAGUUGAAUUGGCUUUUAGUUGAUGGCAAGGCUGCAACGCCCAGCAGCGUCUGGCGCCUCUUGGCAGCUAGGGGGAGCUCGGUGCCCGUGUCAUGCGUGGAGCCGUCGCUGCGAGGGGCCGGGACCCGGCUUCCAUCAGCCGCGGAAGCAGUUUACGUUGCUGCAAAAUGUCCUAAGUGUGAAGUUGUAAUAUUGAUUUUCCUGCAGAGAGUCGAGCAGGACAAAAUGAGAAUAUAAGUUUGAGAAAUCUAUUUUCGAGCCAUCGGCAUUGAUUUACAAGCCCUCACUAGGCAGAUGGGGACAAUUUUCUUUUUUUUAAUUUUUUUUUUUUAAACAGUUACAAUUGUUAGCUUUGAAUGGGCGUGUUUCCUCCGGUUAGUCUGUGGUCUUGACUUUCUGAAUUGCAUUAGGUCGUUGAGGCAUGCCUGAUGGGGUGAGGGGGUCUGCGAAGAGUGAACCUCGUUUUGUCCAUUCCUGUGUUGCAUGUCACAGACCUGGGGAUCUGCCACUGCUCUGGGGAGUCAUGCGUCUCAAACAGCUUGAUGAGUGGAAAUCUUUUCAGCUCAGAUUUUAUAACACUUGGAUCCUCAAUUCCAUUUAUUAGGUAACGUUCCCACUGUACUAAGUGAAAUAGCACCAUUCCCCAAAGAGAUAAAAUGCCAACUCAAAUAAUGUGUAAAACUUUGUCUGGAAGGAGUAUGUGCUUGCUAGACCCAGCGUUGCUAAUACCUUUCACCCCAAACGGUGCCCUUAAUGGAUGGCUUUUAAUGACACGAUUUCUCCCCUAACCGUGUAAUUUCGUGCUGGGGAAUAUGUGUGCUUUUGAUCACGGAAUUUGUGGAUCUAUAAUGUCUUCUUCUCCAAGUUCAAGAAAUCUGCAGAGGGCUUCCCAGGUGGCGCAGUGGUUGAGGGUCUGCCUGCCGAUGCAGGGGACACGGGUUCGUGCCCCGGUCCGGGAAGAUCCCACAUGCCGCGGAGCGGCUGGGCCCGUGAGCCAUGGCCGCUGAGCCUGCGCGUCCGGAGCCUGUGCUCCGCAACGGGAGAGACGCCACAACAAGAGCCAAACCUCAGUGAGAUCUACCCGAGCUGUCGUCCCCUCCCCAAGAAAAGCCAUUUGUUGACCGCCUCCCUGGAGCAGUAGUUUUCCCCAGGCGAGUAUAAAAAGUGCCGAGAGCAGGCUAUUUGGAGACACAUGAAAAGCAGAGGGACACACUUCGUGUGUCUUCUGCACGAGCCUGCGAGCGGGGUGAGGGGAACAGCAUCGUUUUUACUGGCAAAAGUGACACCAGAUUGCGCUUUGAUUAAUGGUGCUACAUUCGCGGGGACUCUCGUCCGGCAUUUUGACAUAUGCAAGUCUUUUGUGUAGUUGCUGAAAUUCAAGAAAUUCAUUCUUUAUUUCUUUUUCCGAGGCAGCUGAUCAUCUGCUUGGGUGUUGAAUCAGACAGACUGAGCUCUGGUACUGUAAUGAAAUCCCAGACCACACAAAAUUAGGUAACUUCAAAGUAAAAAAAAAAAAAAAAAAAAAA
Molecule: long non-coding RNA, 5361 nt
Organism: Orcinus orca (killer whale)
Lineage: Eukaryota; Metazoa; Chordata; Mammalia; Artiodactyla; Delphinidae
Exons: 2
Source: RefSeq, a predicted model, not a curated record